Molecule: ribozyme, 116 nt
Filed under: Aedes aegypti (yellow fever mosquito)
Lineage: Eukaryota; Metazoa; Arthropoda; Insecta; Diptera; Culicidae
Description: drz-agam-1 ribozyme
Rfam family: drz-agam-1 ribozyme
Source: Rfam by way of RNAcentral
UGCCCAGCAACUCCUAUCCCUACCUCCUCGUGGCACUGGUCGGGGUACGAAUAACCUUGGGGAAGAUCGGGUAACCAAUCCCGGUGGGAUCUUUGGUCGUAUGCUGACAGGGAAGU